GCUUCUUAUCUUAUUAUCCCUCUCUCUCUCUCUCUCUCUCUCUAUAUAUAUAUAUAUAUAUAUUCAACCUCAUUGAAUUUAACAUGUUGUUUUAUCGUUUCAGAUUGCGGAGACAGCGGCGGAGCUGAAUUUGCCGUUGAUUGCAGACGAGAUAUACGGGCACAUGGUUUUUCGUGAGGCGAAAUUCGUUCCAAUGGCAUCCCUGUGCUCCAUCGUCCCAGUUCUGACACUUGGAGCUCUGUCGAAGAGGUGGUUAGUGCCAGGGUGGAGGUGCGGAUGGGUGGCGAUAAGUGACCGGAACGGUGCACUUAGUCAGGUGAGAAUGGCGAUGGAGAGGCUGAUGAAUGUUACGUCAGGACCUGCAUCGAUUAUACAAGCUGCACUGCCGGGAUUGUUAUCAGACUCCAACGACGAAUUCC
This 419-nucleotide long non-coding RNA is filed under the name Zostera marina. Its description in RNAcentral is "long non-coding RNA (ZMAR_LNC001607)". The record is from RNAcentral. Lineage: Eukaryota; Viridiplantae; Streptophyta; Magnoliopsida; Alismatales; Zosteraceae.